UAGGGAAUAUUGGGCAAUGGAGGCAACUCUGACCCAGCCAUGCCGCGUGCAGGAAGACGGUUCUCAGAAUUGUAAACUGCUUUUGAAUGGGAAGAAUGUGUGGCUUGCGAGCUAUAAUGACGGUACCAUUAGAAUAAGCACCGGCUAACUCCGUGCCAGCAGCCGCGGUAAUACGGAGGGUGCAAGCGUUAUCCGGAUUUAUUGGGUUUAAAGGGUGCGUAGGCGGCUUAAUAAGUCAGUGGUAAAAGGUAGUCGCUUAACGAUUUUACAAGCCAUUGAUACUGUUAAGCUUGAGUAAUUUGGAGGUAGCUAGAAUUCCCUGUGUAGCGGUGAAAUGCAUAGAUACGGGGAGGAAUACCGAUUGCGAAGGCAUGUUACUACGAAUUAACUGACGCUGAGGCACGAAAGCGUGGGGAUCAAACA
Molecule: ribosomal RNA, 423 nt
Filed under: uncultured Bacteroidota bacterium
Lineage: Bacteria; Pseudomonadati; Bacteroidota
Description: bacterial SSU rRNA
Rfam family: Bacterial small subunit ribosomal RNA
Source: RNAcentral